AACUCUUGUCACUGCUCCCAUCUCAACUCGUAAAGGAUCUAAAGCUGCACCACGUCUGACUCACUGGAAAUGAUUGGUGAUGGCAUGUAAGAGCUGCUGGGAUCAGCCAGGACAGAAACCCAGCCUUCAUCUGAAAUGCGGCUCCAGAGGCAGGAACUUGCCGACCAGCGUCACUCACAACUGCGUUAACAUUUGGUCAGGAUGCUGCCUGGCCUGCUGAAUUAUUUUUCCAGCAUUUUAUGUUUUUAUUUCUGAUCUUCAACAACUGUCAGCGUGACAAUAUGAUCUCUUCCACAACUGGGUGGCAUGACUUGAUGUGAUCUCAGAGCCGUGGGUGCAGAGAGCUGUCAGCUUUUCCAUGAAAAUCCCAAAUUGCCCUCGAGGAGCCUUGGUUUUUGACUGCUUACAACAGCCCCGGCAGAGGAGUCAUUCAAUGUAGAGUAUUCAAGGACUUCACGGACCACACAUGUCUCUUCCAACAUUUGGACACAUCUUCUCCAUGUCUAAGCUGCUGAACAUUCCAAGAGACUGAUGAGCCAUUUCAAAUAAUGUUCAUUGAUGUCUUAUGUUGAAGAAAGACACUCCAAGUUCAGAAACUUGGUUUGACAGUGGUGAUUCCACACAAUUAUGCAUCAAAUGUAGCUGGGAUUCCAGUAACUCCAGAAGCCUUCCACAAAAGCAUUCUGACCAAUAUUCAGGCCAAUGCCGCUCCUAAUGUAACCUUUAAUGUCUGGGCAUCAAAUUUCACAUGAGUAUGCUUCAGUGUACCCCGUCAGGAAUUUUACUAUGUUAAAUGUACAAUGUGUUCAGGAUGAGUUGCCUGCGAUCAGGAAAAGGAUAGAAAGAUAGAGGCCCUAUCAACAUGAUGAACUAUUUUUUUUUUUAAAUGAUGCUUGUUGUAUUUUGGCACUUUAGAGAAGAUUAUUUUGGGAUGGUAGGGGAAAUUGAAUGUUAUACUGGAUUAAGUUUAAGGUAACUGUGCCAAACCACUGAACUAUGAUCUCACCACUG
Long non-coding RNA from Amblyraja radiata (thorny skate), 1011 nucleotides. RefSeq lists it as uncharacterized. The transcript has 5 exons. Lineage: Eukaryota; Metazoa; Chordata; Chondrichthyes; Rajiformes; Rajidae. The record is from RefSeq and is a predicted model, not a curated record.